This 470-nucleotide long non-coding RNA is filed under the name Marmota monax (woodchuck). The record is from RNAcentral. Lineage: Eukaryota; Metazoa; Chordata; Mammalia; Rodentia; Sciuridae.
ACACGUGCUGGGAGUGUAGCUCAGUGGUAGACUACUACUAGGUUCAAUCCUUAGUAAAAAAGCAUAUAUAUUUUUUUUCAUUUGAAAGGGGAGCAGAAAAAGGGUGUAGGACCCAGAGAAUGAUGUAGGGGGAAGUUGUUAUUGUGUUAGCAAUGGGAGAGUCACAUGCAUAUUUUUGUUGCUAAUGAAAGGACAAGAUAAAAUGCCCAAGGGAGGAGCUGGGAUCCAGAGCACAAGUACAAUAGCAGCCUUCAGUAAGAGAGAUGCCCUUUCUAUAAGGAAGUAAAGAGGGGGGAAAUGGGUGCAAGCACAGUUGUCUGUGGGUUUGAUGGAGAACGUCAUGUGGGUCUCUGUCAAACAUCACAUGAAUCCAAAGUGUCUAUAAUGAUGUUUGGCAUAGAGAAGGCACUUUAGAAAUGUUUGGUUAGAGAUUUUUUUGAAUCUGGUCUUGAACAAAUUUAAUGAUGCAG